UGCUGCAGCCCUCCUUGGGCGUUUCCUCCCUAGACUUGGGCCGUCCGGCGAUGCCGGGCGGUCUUUUUUUUUCGGCGA
Molecule: small RNA, 78 nt
Filed under: Tepidamorphus gemmatus
Lineage: Bacteria; Pseudomonadati; Pseudomonadota; Alphaproteobacteria; Hyphomicrobiales; Tepidamorphaceae
Description: Makes More Granules Regulator RNA (mmgR)
Rfam family: Makes More Granules Regulator RNA (mmgR)
About the family: SuhB later renamed mmgR (makes more granules regulator) was a putative non-coding RNA found multiple times in the Agrobacterium tumefaciens genome and related alpha-proteobacteria. Other non-coding RNAs uncovered in the same analysis include: speF, ybhL, metA, and serC. Several studies inSinorhizobium meliloti showed that suhB element is indeed a non-coding RNA:firstly it was detected on Northern blot and called Sm8RNA, secondly in an RNAseq study referred to as SmelC689.
Source: Rfam by way of RNAcentral